This 371-nucleotide ribosomal RNA is filed under the name uncultured bacterium. RNAcentral's name for it is "bacterial SSU rRNA". It matches the Rfam family "Bacterial small subunit ribosomal RNA", at positions 527 to 896 of the family's 1533-position model. The record is from RNAcentral.
GUAGGUGACAAGCGUUGUCCGGAUUUACUGGGCGUAAAGAGCGCGCAGGCGGUCGGUCAAGUCGAGUGUGAAAGCCCCCGGCUCAACUGGGGAGGGUCACUCGAUACUGAUCGACUCGAAGGCAGGAGAGGGUAGUGGAAUUCCCGGUGUAGUGGUGAAAUGCGUAGAUAUCGGGAGGAACACCAGUGGCGAAGGCGACUACCUGGCCUGUUCUUGACGCUGAGGCGCGAAAGCUAGGGGAGCAAACGGGAUUAGAUACCCCGGUAGUCCUAGCCGUAAACGAUGGACACUAGGUGUUGGUGGUAUCAACCCCGCCAGUGCCGAAGCUAACGCAUUAAGCGCCCCGCCUGGGGAGUACGGCCGCAAGGCUA